This 488-nucleotide ribosomal RNA is filed under the name uncultured bacterium. Its description in RNAcentral is "partial 16S ribosomal RNA". It matches the Rfam family "Bacterial small subunit ribosomal RNA", at positions 30 to 523 of the family's 1533-position model. The record is from RNAcentral.
AUUGAACGCUGGCGGCAGGCCUAACACAUGCAAGUCGAGCGGGGUUUUCGGACCUAGCGGCGGACGGGUGAGUAAUGCGUAGGAAGCUGCCCGAUAGAGGGGGAUACCAGUUGGAAACGACUGUUAAUACCGCAUAAUGUCUACGGACCAAAGUGUGGGACCUUCGGGCCACAUGCUAUCGGAUGCGCCUACGUGGGAUUAGCUAGUUGGUGAGGUAAUGGCUCACCAAGGCGACGGUCUCUAGCUGGUUUGAGAGGAUGAUCAGCCACACUGGAACUGAGACACGGUCCAGAAUCCUACGGGAGGCAGAAGUGGGGAAUAUUGGACAAUGGGCGCAAGCCUGAUCCAGCCAUGCCGCGUGUGUGAAGAAGGCCUUCGGGUUGUAAAGCACUUUCAGCGAGGAGGAAGGGUGGUGUGUUAAUAGCACAUCAUUUUGACGUUACUCGCAGAAGAAGCACCGGCUAACUCUGUGCCAGCCGCCGCCGUAA